RNAcentral lists this ribosomal RNA (253 nucleotides) under uncultured bacterium. RNAcentral's name for it is "partial 16S ribosomal RNA". It matches the Rfam family "Bacterial small subunit ribosomal RNA", at positions 524 to 776 of the family's 1533-position model. The record is from RNAcentral.
UACGUAGGGUGCAAGCGUUAAUCGGAAUUACUGGGCGUAAAGCGUGCGCAGGCGGUUUUGUAAGUCUGUCGUGAAAGCCCCGGGCUCAACCUGGGAAUUGCGAUGGAGACUGCAAGGCUUGAAUCUGGCAGAGGGGGGUAGAAUUCCACGUGUAGCAGUGAAAUGCGUAGAGAUGUGGAGGAACACCGAUGGCGAAGGCAGCCCCCUGGGUCAAGAUUGACGCUCAUGCACGAAAGCUGGGGGAGCAAACCGG